RNAcentral lists this long non-coding RNA (1197 nucleotides) under Oncorhynchus mykiss (rainbow trout). RNAcentral describes it as "lncRNA (ENSOMYG00000057898.1)". The record is from RNAcentral. Lineage: Eukaryota; Metazoa; Chordata; Actinopteri; Salmoniformes; Salmonidae.
AUGAAAAGACAUAUUAAAUGUUGUGCGAAAGAAGAACAGGAUCGACUUUCAACUGCACAUUUAUUGGAGGUCGGCGAUGACUGUGUUGAUUACUAUGAUCAAACAGAGAGCAAUGACGGAGUCGGUGCCUGGUCGCAAGAUGCAUGUAGUUACAGGAUUGAUAUUUGCACCAAGGGCAAACUGUCCAGAAAAAUUAUUUCAUAUCAGAGAAGAGAGUGUGCAGAGAAUACAUGUGAUGUCAUAUCGCAAUCUCAGCAUUACAACGACCCUGAGCGGUUCAUUGAACAAUACAGAAGUGACAGAUUGCGCCGUUUCCCCUGUCACACACAUAUCCCUACACAUCCGGGGACAUGGGUGGUGCUGAAAAGCUGCGAGGAAGAGCCCUUCGAUUUUACCAUGCCACCAAUCAGAGGUAAAAACAACAGCGCUACUGGAGACUACUUGGAGCAACAAUAUGCACUUAUAUCUGAAAAAAGAGACACGUUUUCCAAACACAAACAGACGGAUGAAUGUAAAAAGUUAUCUUCUGCAUGUGUUCAAGAUGAUGAAAUGCUCUGUUUUACCUGCCACGCUAUGCUAAGGUCAUUUCAAAAUUGUGGAGACAAGGAGCUGUCCUACUAUGAGCCAAAUGGCACAGUCUACUCACCUAUCAACAACAUGGGCAUCAAGCUGCUGACAGUGCAACAAACACAGACCUCGUUGGACGCCUUGCGGAGGAACCAGCGACUCAGGAGCAGCGCUGUCAUCAGGAGGCACCCACGAGCCAAUAAGAGUGCCACCUUAGGGGACAUCUCCCUGUCAACAUUCAAAAACAACGUGGUGUGGUGUAACGGCUAUCGAGAGACCUCUUCCAUGCAGGCCGCCGCUCUCCCUGAUGUUCCCAGUUCUUCAUCCAAGAAAGGAAACAAUAAGGCCAAUCCUUUUACGGUCAAAGGGUUGAGAAGGCUCCCUCCAAGUCAGAAUGGGACCAGGCCUGGCCGCUCCUUUCCCGAGUCAUCUCCUCCCAGUGGGAGAUCCAUCACCCCAGGCACCCAGCUCUCCUCCACCACCCCCCUACCUCCAUCGCACCCCUGGAAGUCCAGCUCUACAUGCUACCUGACCCCUCCACAGUUGGCACCCACUAAGCCCCUGGUGGUCCAGCAGAGGAAAAAGAGGUCAGUCAUGUCAAUGCAAAGUAACAGCCAGAUUAUGACCUGA